Marmota monax (woodchuck) is the source of this 2706-nucleotide long non-coding RNA. RefSeq lists it as uncharacterized. Lineage: Eukaryota; Metazoa; Chordata; Mammalia; Rodentia; Sciuridae. The record is from RefSeq and is a predicted model, not a curated record. The transcript has 3 exons.
GCUGCCCGGCCACCGCCGCGUGCCGGAGCACCGAGGCUGCGGCGCUCGCUCUCGGGGCUCCGAGAUGCUGCGGCUCCACUCGCCCACGCCACCCCGAGUCCCAGAGCCUGGAUCUGAGCGGCCGGCUUGACUCGGGGCCGAAGAAGGGGUUGUCUUUCGUGCAGAGUUGCGGCCAGAGGACCCAAAGUUUUGCUUGUGUGUCCCUCCCUCCUCGGGUCCCUGUCGCCCACGUUGAGGCGCCCCUGUGGAGAUCCUGUCGGCUUAAUGGGUGGGAGCCGAGUAGGUGUGCACGUCCCCCACCCCACGUAGGGUGGGGACCCUGGUGACCUCGCGUCCUGGCCACCAUCCCCUUCAUCCUAUCAGUCUCUGGUGGACCGUAGAUCUUGGGGAUUCUGCGGAUGCUUCUGGGAGGUGAAAUCAAUGGGUCCUUAAAUGCAGACCAGCCACUCUCAGGAGGGGAAGACAUGUGAGAUUUCUCUUGGACCUCACAGAGGUGCAUGCUGUGGUCUCUGGAAGAAAAGAGGAAAGAAGCUUAUCCACUCCUUAGAGAAACAUGACACAUGUACAGUGACUGGCCAAUGUAGGUGAGCACUGAGCCCCAGGCAGAGCUGAGCGUAGUAGGACUGGUGAACACCACCAUGACGCAGAGGCAGGUUGCUCUCAGCUUCUGGAGCUUCUGCCCAGCCCCAGGGACUCCAGGAUUCAGCCCAGGUGCAAUGGAAGCCAAAUCCUGCUGCUGAUGCCUUCUCAAGAGGAUUCAUGGGUGGGGAUCUGGGGAUGGGAACCAAAGUCCCACAUCAGUGUUGUCUUGACGAGAAAUUAGGAAAGGGCAGGGGCUGUGGCUCAGCAGUAGAGCGCUCACCUAGCAUGUGUGAGGCCCUGGGUUCAAUCCUCAGCACCACAUAAAAAUAAGUAAAUAAAUAAAGAUAUUGUGCCCAACUACAACUAAUAAAUAAAUAAAUAAGAAAUUAGGAAAGAUGAGUAAAUGUAAGAACUAUGGGGCCGGCGUUGUGGCUCAGUGGUAGAGCAGUUGCCUAGCAUGCAUGAGGCACUAGGUUUGAUUCCCGGCACCACAUAAAAAUAAAAUAAAGGUCUUGUGUCCGUUUACAACUAAAAAAAAAAAAGAAAAAUUUUUUAAAUGUAAGAACUAUAAAAUAGCCUGCUCCUCUCAGCAAGAAACCAGGUUUAUGGUGCAACUCUGUGGUCAAGACCAGGGGUUUGAAAAUAGUUAUUAUGAAAUGACCCUAUUAGGGUUUUAGUGGCCCUCUCCAGAGGCUAUGCUUUUAAAUGGAUUGCAUCAGGGUCCCCUCAAUUGGGGGAAGAUAAACUAAUUUUUCUCCUGCCUAUUCAGUGCCAUUUGCUCUCCCUCUCCCCGUCUUCCUACACCAUGUAUACUGACAAAAAGUCAAAGAAUGAAUUUAGUCAAAAUACAGUCCCUCCUCAGACUGCUGGGAGGGAGAAACCACAUAUAUUCAAAGCCCAAACCUUUCCAUAGGCAAAGCUCGAUGGUAAGUAAUCGUUGUCUUGUCCCCCAUUCAGGAAUUGUCCAUUCCUCCCAGUGGGUGUUGGCAGCAUGUUCGAUGGAGACCACUAAUGAGGAGCUUCCCCUUCCCUAAGCUCCUCUGGAUUCUCAAGGAUGUGUGAACCAGGGAAGCGAGUGGUGGUAAAGGAUUUCUAGGCCCGUCAUUUUCUUUUUCUGAGGUCUGGGUUUGAAAGUGGUAGAGCAUUUACCAAUUCUUCUCCAUGGCAGGUCCUACAAGAGGGAUGGAGAAGAGAAAUUCUGAAUAUAUGACAUGUCUGGAUUUUACAAAGGUGUUUCACUAAUGAUAUCUGUAGGAGACUGGGGCCCCCUAAAGAUCCUGGGUCCUGAUCCCUGAAUCCUAUGAGUGUUACAUUAUACAGUUAAGUCUUUGCAGAGGUGAUUAAGUUAAAGAUCUUGAGCUGGAGAUAUUAUCCUGGAUUAUCCAGCUGGGCCCUAAAUGCCAUCACUUGUAUCCUUACUUAAGAAAGAGGCCAAGGGAGGUUUUAUAAUGACACUCACAGGAGGGAAGUGUUUUAGUUAGUUUUUUCAUUUCUGUUACUAAAAGACCAGAACAAUUGUGGAGGAGAAAAAGUUUAUUUGGGGGCUCAUAGUUUCAGAGGUCUCAAUCCAUAGAGAGCAAGUUCCAUUCCUCAGGGCUCAAGGUGAGGCAGAACACCAUGGUGGAAGAGUGUGGCAGAGAGAAGCAGCUCACAGGAUGAUUAGGCAGCAGAGAGAGAGAGAUCUCCACUUGCCAGAUACAAAUAUAUACCCAAAGCCACGCCCCCAAUGCCCCACCUCCUCUGGACAUGCCCCCACCUGCCUCCAGUUACCUCCUUUUAUUCCUAUCCCGUGAUUCAUUCACUGAUUGGGUUAAGGCUCUUGUAACCCAAUCAUUUCUCCUCUGAACUUUCUUGCACUGUCUCACACUGGAGCUCUGGGGGACACCUCAGAUCCAAGCCAUAAUAGCAGGCAAUGUAAAGAUGGAGCACGGGAGGCUUUGAAGAUGCUGGCCCUGAAGACGAGAGUGAUGCAGCCCGCCCAAGCCAAGAAGCUCAAGAGGCAAGAAGCAAUUUCUCCCCUAGAGUCUCUGGAGGGAGUGUGGCCUUGAUUGUGGCGCAGUGAAACCAAUGUUUGAUUUCUGAUCUCUAGAACCGUCAAAGAAUAAAUCUGUGUCACUUAAGGUC